AUGGCGUCCUCCUCCUCGUCUCCACUGCUCCUGCUGCUGCUUCUCCCGCUCCUGCUCGCCAUGGCGCGCCCGUGCUCCGCCGUCGACGCCAUCGGCACCUACUGCGCCAAGAACGGCACCAGCGCGGAGACGCAGGCCAGCAUCGACCAGGUCCUCGCGGCCCUCGUCCCGCGCGCCUCGGCCGCCUACUACGCCACGGCCACCGCCGGCCGCUCCUCGUCCGCGGUCUGGGGCCUCGCGCAGUGCCGCGGCGACGUCCCGCGCCAGGACUGCUCGCUCUGCCUCGCCGCCGCGGCCAAGGAGGUCGCGUCGUCCUGCCGCGGCAGCUCGGACGGCCGGGUCUUCUACGACUACUGCCUCCUGCGGUACUCCACCUCCAACUUCAUCGGCCUCGCGGACACGGGGUACACGCUCAUCCUCCUCAACACCCAGAACGCCACCGGCGUCGACCUGGCCGCGUUCGACCGGGCGCAGGGGAAGCUCAUGUCCCGCGUCGCGUCGGAGGCCGGCGGCGCCCAGAACAAGGGGCUGGCGACGGACACGACGCGGCUAGGAAAUGACGGCGGCGGAGCCAAGACGACCAUCUACGGGCUCGGGUGGUGCACCAGGGACAUCACCGCGGCGGACUGCGGGCUGUGCGUGGCGCAGGCGGUGGCCGAGCUGCCCAACUACUGCCGGUACCGGCGCGGGUGCCGUGUGAUCUACAGCAGCUGCAUGGCGCGCUACGAGGUGUACCCCUUCUUCUUCCCGCUCGACAGCGCCGGCGAGUCGGCCGACGAGGUCGGACAGUGCGACAAGAUCGUCUUGAACUACCCGUGA
This 819-nucleotide ribosomal RNA is filed under the name Triticum aestivum (bread wheat). Its description in RNAcentral is "partial small subunit ribosomal RNA". The record is from RNAcentral. Lineage: Eukaryota; Viridiplantae; Streptophyta; Magnoliopsida; Poales; Poaceae.